UUACACAUGCAAGUCGAACGAUGAUGCCCAGCUUGCUGGGUGGAUUAGUGGCGAACGGGUGAGUAACACGUGAGUAACCUGCCCUUGACUUCGGGAUAACUCCGGGAAACCGGGGCUAAUACCGGAUAUGAGCUACCUUCGCAUGGGGGUGGUUGGAAAGUUUUUCGGUCAAGGAUGGGCUCGCGGCCUAUCAGCUUGUUGGUGGGGUGAUGGCCUACCAAGGCGACGACGGGUAGCCGGCCUGAGAGGGCGACCGGCCACACUGGGACUGAGACACGGCCCAGACUCCUACGGGAGGCAGCAGUGGGGAAUAUUGCACAAUGGGCGAAAGCCUGAUGCAGCGACGCCGCGUGAGGGAUGAAGGCCUUCGGGUUGUAAACCUCUUUCAGCAGGGAAGAAGCGCAAGUGACGGUACCUGCAGAAGAAGCGCCGGCUAACUACGUGCCAGCAGCCGCGGUAAUACGUAGGGCGCAAGCGUUGUCCGGAAUUAUUGGGCGUAAAGAGCUCGUAGGCGGUUUGUCGCGUCUGGUGUGAAAACUCGAGGCUCAACCUCGAGCUUGCAUCGGGUACGGGCAGACUAGAGUGCGGUAGGGGAGACUGGAAUUCCUGGUGUAGCGGUGGAAUGCGCAGAUAUCAGGAGGAACACCGAUGGCGAAGGCAGGUCUCUGGGCCGCAACUGACGCUGAGGAGCGAAAGCAUGGGGAGCGAACAGGAUUAGAUACCCUGGUAGUCCAUGCCGUAAACGUUGGGCACUAGGUGUGGGGCUCAUUCCACGAGUUCCGUGCCGCAGCAAACGCAU
RNAcentral lists this ribosomal RNA (799 nucleotides) under Cellulosimicrobium sp. 763. RNAcentral's name for it is "bacterial SSU rRNA". It matches the Rfam family "Bacterial small subunit ribosomal RNA", at positions 49 to 860 of the family's 1533-position model. The record is from RNAcentral. Lineage: Bacteria; Bacillati; Actinomycetota; Actinomycetes; Micrococcales; Promicromonosporaceae.